ACAUUGGCAGCAGAAAUACUUCUGCAGUUCUGAACAAUGCACGUGUAAAAUGUAAAUCGCAUUUCGCAUCGCAGUCAUACCAAAAAUAGUAAAGUAAAGUACAGAUAUCAACUAAAGUUAUGCUGGAUUCUGUGUGUUAUUUUUAAGUUUUUGUUUUAAAUUUGUAUGGGCAAAAUGAAUGAAACCCAUAAAUGACGUGGUUAAUUAGAUCAUGGUUGUUCCAAGUUUUACAUCCAGUUGCUGAGUAUUUUUUAUUAUCAAAACAUCAGCUACCUUGCAGCUACCAAACUUCAGCUUUAUAUCCGAAAGGUUUUGGAAUGGAUGUAGGCCUAUGCUACAUGAUGACGGAGCUGGUCAGAGCGACAUUGGAGAGAUCAAAUUAAAAGGAGAAACUGCCAACAACUUGUUGAGUUUUUUGUCGAGUAUGUCGACCCAUCAGAAUUUCACUUGUCGUUUAAUAAUACUUGACUCUGCAAUAUUUGGGUUACGACCGAAAUAGGCGGAAAUACUCAUUGUGAGAUGCAUCUUUGUCGAGGAAACCGGCGCGUGGAAGAAACUGACAGUGAUGGUGUAACUAUUGCCUUGGAAUAUCGUAUGACGUGGUACUGCUCGAGCAGCCCCAUCGAUUCGAACAGUUGAUUGCAGUUUUGGCCACGAUGGAAUUUGAACUCCCUUUGUCAAAAGCAAAAUACAAUCUGAGCCAAGAAAUUAAAGCAGGUGCCUCCUACAAUAAAGAUGCCAAAAGAACGCAACAGCUAUUCCUAUGUGGAAAUUUGCUAAAGAUGCCUUUCAUUCGGUUGUCAACUUGGAGAAAGAAGAAGAAUCUGAACGCAAACAAGAGGGAGAAGAACCAUCUACUACUGAUUUACCAACAGCCAAUGAACUUAUUCCACACGCUCUAAGACUGCAGUAUUAUGGCGUGCCCUUAUUGGGUUACGACUUGUGGUUCUGUUGGAGUCAUAAAAAAGGAAUGCACCGCCACCAAAUCAAAGGUUCCUUUACCAACUGACGUCAUUUUCAAGUUGGUCAUGGAUGGUCGGCAACAGACGUAUGUAAACACGAGCGAACCGGUUGCGCUCAGUAAGAAUCAGGCAUACAAAAAGGGCACCGUGUGCUUGUCGCUCAAGUUCUUCAUUAUCAAACCUUUAUCACUUAUACUAAUGACCUAAGGUACUGUCAGAUCUAGAAACACAAAGAUGAUGGAAUUCAUCUCUGUGGCCAAUAGAGUUCGACCGCAUGCAGCAUCUAGCCCGAUGUCGUUAAAGAUUUCCAUCACGGCCCCAUGGAUAACUCGCCUUCUUGGAUCUACUCAUUGGCUUCACCCCUGUUUCUGGCCUAAUGUCUCGUUUUUCUGCACAAACGGCCUCAAAUCGUCGAAUUCGCUUUGUAAGUUCGAACCCUUUAUAUGCAUGUCCCGCUGAGAAGAAAUGGCGACCAAAGCCGGCAACAUGUCAAUGAAAGCAGUAGGCUGGAGCCGUUGCCUUACAGCCACAGGCAGGAAAAUUAUUCUUUUCUCCAGAAAAAUGGAAAGCUCGGAAAGCUGCUGGAGUAAUCUGGUGUUUAUGCUCAUUUGAUGCAUUUCGUGCCAGCUAGUGAAAGCCGAAAGGCAUGUCGAAUUCAAGUUGAGCUGCUGCUUACUGUCUGGAAUCCAGCAAUCCAGCCGUUGCGUUCAGUCAUUUGAACAGGAAUCUGAUGGCUGUCAAUAGGUGGCUGUCAAAAGUUGGCUGGAAUGUCCACCAGGUAGCGCUAGUGUCUUCAGGGACGCAUUUCGGCCAUUUUGUUCCAAGACGUAGCAGAAAUGGGUUGCUGGUCGUGACGUUUCUCACGAUGAAAAUUAAAAGGUGAUUUAGCAUGUGGAAACCACUUUGCCAAGUCAUUCAACUCAGACUUGGAAGUGCCUCGUGUGUCUCGCUGUAUGUUCUUAGGCGUAUCAUCUCAUGCAACAGAAAAAAGUAUAACAAAUACUUCUUUAACGCUGUGGGUUUCCUUGUUGCUGCCAAAUGGUGAAAGGAAGAAGAGUACGAAGACGGAUUGAACCAUUGUAUGCAGUUGCAGUGUAAUCCAGAAGUAGCUGUGAUGGUGUUAUGCUGAAAUUGCUGUGCUGUUGUAGCUGAGCUGUUCCAUCUGGGUUCCUGACUUGAAAAUUUUUGUGUUGUUGUUUGCGUGCCAGUAUUUUGUGUUGUGACUUCAAAUAGUUUGAUCUGUCGUCUUUUGAGUUUUCAUUCAAUCAUGCAGUAUACGACUGAGGCAACUUGAUCAAUAUCAGGUUUGACACAGUCGAGAACUGCUAGAUUAAACAAGCUUUCUGCGCCAAACAAAUAAUAACUUGCACAUAACUUGCAUCAUGUUAUUAUCGCGGUAGAGAAAGCGACAGGCCCCCCCCCCUGGGGGCCAUAGGAAAAAUAAAUGUAUGUGACAAUUAAAAAAUAAAUUUUUGAAAUCAAUAAAA
Molecule: long non-coding RNA, 2449 nt
Filed under: Daphnia pulex (common water flea)
Lineage: Eukaryota; Metazoa; Arthropoda; Branchiopoda; Diplostraca; Daphniidae
Description: uncharacterized LOC124192300, transcript variant X1
Source: RNAcentral